Molecule: ribosomal RNA, 253 nt
Filed under: uncultured bacterium
Lineage: Bacteria
Description: partial 16S ribosomal RNA
Rfam family: Bacterial small subunit ribosomal RNA
Source: RNAcentral
UACAGGGGGGGCAAGCGUUGUUCGGAAUUACUGGGCGUAAAGGGCUCGUAGGCGGCCAACUAAGUCGGAUGUGAAAUCCCCAGGCUUAACCUGGGAACUGCAUCCGAUACUGGAUGGCUUGAAUCCGGGAGAGGGAUGCGGAAUUCCAGGUGUAGCGGUGAAAUGCGUAGAUAUCUGGAGGAACACCGGUGGCGAAGGCGGGUCUCUGGGCCAUUACUGACGCUGAGGAGCGAAAGCGUGGGGAGCGAACAGG